AUACUUACCUGAGGAAGGGGAGAUACCAUGAUCACGAAGGUGGUUUUCCCAGGGCGAGGCUUACCCAUUGUACUCUGGAUGUGCUGACCCCUGCGAUUUCCCCAAAUGUGGGAAACUCGACUGCAUAAUUUAUGGCAGCGGGGGACUGUGUCUGCGCUCUCCCUUG
This 166-nucleotide small nuclear RNA is filed under the name Echinops telfairi (small Madagascar hedgehog). RNAcentral's name for it is "U1 spliceosomal RNA (ENSETEG00000020657.1)". It matches the Rfam family "U1 spliceosomal RNA". From Rfam's summary of the family: U1 is a small nuclear RNA (snRNA) component of the spliceosome (involved in pre-mRNA splicing). Its 5' end forms complementary base pairs with the 5' splice junction, thus defining the 5' donor site of an intron. Lineage: Eukaryota; Metazoa; Chordata; Mammalia; Afrosoricida; Tenrecidae. The record is from RNAcentral.